AAGAAGCUUGCUUCUUCUGAUGGCGACCGGCGCACGGGUGCGUAACGCGUAUCAAACCUGCCUCAUACUCGGGGAUAGCCUUGCGAAAGUAAGAUUAAUACCCGAUGUUGUUAUGUUACCGCAUGGUGAUAUAACCAAAGAUUUAUCGGUAUGAGAUGGUGAUGCGUCCGAUUAGGUAGUAGGCGGGGUAACGGCCCACCUAGCCUUCGAUCGGUAGGGGUUCUGAGAGGAAGGUCCCCCACACUGGAACUGAGACACGGUCCAGACUCCUACGGGAGGCAGCAGUGAGGAAUAUUGGUCAAUGGACGGAAGUCUGAACCAGCCAAGUAGCGUGCAGGAUGACGGCCCUCUGGGUUGUAAACUGCUUUUAGUUGGGAGUAAAAAAGAGGACGUGUCCUCUAUUGUAUGUACCUUCAGAAAAAGGACCGGCUAAUUCCGUGCCAGCAGUCGCGGUAAUACGGAAGGUCCAGGCGUUAUCCGGAUUUAUUGGGUUUAAAGGGAGCGUAGGCGGAUUAUUAAGUCAGUGGUGAAAGACGGUGGCUCAACCAUCGUUAGCCAUUGAAACUGGUAGUCUUGAGUGCAGACAGGGAUGCUGGAACUCGUGGUGUAGCGGUGAAAUGCUUAGAUAUCACGAUGAACUCCGAUCGCGAAGGCAGGUGUCCGGGCUGCAACUGACGCUGAGGCUCGAAAGUGUGGGUAUCAAACAGGAUUAGAUACCCUGGUAGUCCACACAGUAAACGAUGUAUACUCGCGGUUUGCGAUAGACAGU
RNAcentral lists this ribosomal RNA (769 nucleotides) under uncultured Bacteroidota bacterium. RNAcentral's name for it is "bacterial SSU rRNA". It matches the Rfam family "Bacterial small subunit ribosomal RNA", at positions 73 to 837 of the family's 1533-position model. Lineage: Bacteria; Pseudomonadati; Bacteroidota. The record is from RNAcentral.